GCGGCGGCGCUGAGGGCGUCGGUCGGUGCGGGGGGCGCUGCUGCUGUUGUGGCUUCUUCUUUGGGGGUCUUUGUAGGCUCUCCUUGUGCCAUCUUGUUCUCUUGUGGAGUCUGCUACAUAAGCCUCGUUGCUGGAGCUCUUGCUUCCUUUUUUUUUUUAGUACUUUUCCACAAAAUAAAAUAGAAGCAGGCAGAGGACGUGAGGACACGUUCCACAGGCCUUUUUGGAACAUGCUUGGUGUUGUGCAGGUUUAUAGGGAGCUGUCGCAUUCGUGUGUGGUUAUGCAGAACUAAUGGAUGCAUCUUGUGCUGUGGUGGUUGUUAAAAGCCUGCCUACCUCUGUGUUGUUUCAGUGCCUGUAGUUUGGCUUUGCGUGCUGGAUAAUCUACGAAAUAAAAGGACUGAUAAGUACAAGCUAAAAGAUGCAGUCUUAAUAACGUUUUUGAGGUGAGAUUUAGGGCAGUGUGACUGCUUGCAUAAGGCUGACCCUUGGGGAGCAAUCUGCAUAUUGCCAAGUUUCAAGUAGGCCAAGUGGUGCCUUUAAAAGUCUUAGUGAAGGGUAAAGUAAUGUACCCUCACACAUGAAUGCUAUGUUCUCUUUGUUGCUGUUGUAUUUCUUUGUGGUUGCUCUAUUGAAUAUGUUUGGAGUUUUUUUUGUUUUUUUGGGGCACCAUAACGCUGUGCUCGCAGUGGUGCGAUGAAUGAAGUGGUGAAUAGUAAAUAAGAAUUAUGUAUGGAAUGUUGCUGUGUUAAUGCUGCCAAAGAAUAAAUUCCGUACCGUGUUGAUGUUGUCUUUCAGGUGUUUGAUAUUUGGCUCGCAAUAGCGAGGUACUUUGCCAGGGAAAGGCAAAUCCAUCCUGCUGAGCUCAAGGGGAAUGGCAACCUUAAUUGUGUGAGAAGGGAACACUGGGUUAUUUAAAACCACAGUAGGGUACUUAGAAGCGUAGCUGAGCAUGAGCUCCCCAAUCUAAAACAGUAGUUUUCCUUUUUCUUUAGCUUCUCAGGAAAAUAACUGCUUUAUCACUGUUGUUUGUGGGAGUUUGAGCUGAUCUGUGGCCAGCAGAGGUCACCUUCAGAGUUCCUGGGGGAAAAAAAAAAACAAAACACAGCAGAAUCUUGAGGUGGAAGUGUGUAAAUGAUGAGAGGAACAGGGAAUCUUUGGUACAAAAGGCUGUUCUGGAAGCUAGAUAACGUGUAAAUGUGGAGCUCUAGAACAGAUAAGAAUUUCUCAUCUAAUAGACUUAAAGCAUGGUGAUAAAUGCGCAGCUCUUAGAAAGUAUGUGUAAAAACAUAUCUCAGGUUCUGCUAUGGAGCUGGUACUCAGCAUGCUUUCAGGUCUGCAGAAAGAGAUAAGCUUGACUGGGAGGAAUAGAUUGUAGAGGAAAAAAUCUAGCAGUUAUGAGGAAAUGAGAAUGUGGCAACGAGUAAAACCAAAUGGUGGCAAAUGAAAAGUAGUUGCACCAAAAGAAAGCAAAACAAACAGUAAUGCAGAACCAUAAGCUUUACUUUAAUAGUGAAAUAGGAGAAAAGGCCUUGGUGAUAGGAACCUGAGCCUUGCCGCAGCAAGAGAUGAUACAGCAUGAAGUGGUCCAGCCCAGGCAAGGAAGACCCCACCUCUUUCACUGCCAGAUGUCACAGGAUGUAUUUUGCAUGGAGCAUUUGCCUCUCUGCUAACCCAGGCUGAGGGCUGCCACCUAAUUAAAUAAUCUUCUGUCCUGACCCUUCAAAGGCUGUAAGCAGCUUUUCCCAGCAAAGCAGUUUGCAGUGCCAUCAUGUGUGUGAAAUGAAAUAAGUUGUUAGAGCUUUCAAGGAAAAUGUGAUGCAGCACAAUCAGAUAUAUCCAUGCAAAUGAACGUUCAAGGCCCUCUUAGCUGAGGACACAGGACUAUGCUGAGCAGUGAGGCAAAUACCCUAAAUAAAGCUGUUCUGGAUCAUAAAAGGAUUGAAUGCCCUCCAUGAAGCUUCAUGCAUGUUAUAAAGACAUCCAAGCAUCAUGUGAGCAUUUCAUGUUCUACACGUGAACUUCCAGAUCCGUGUAUUAACUUUAUUGCUCUGGAGUGGGAAGCAAUGUAGUUGCCUAAGUUCAAGUUUCAUACUCAAACAGCGUCGUAAGUCCAGUGAGCUGUGAUUUGUGUAGAAACUGAAGCAGAGAAGCUCUGCUUUGUCAAACGCACACUGAACUUCCAGGAGGAUCUCUGAACAUUUGAUUUUUCUGAAACAUCAGUAACGUGUAAUUAUGGUGGGGAAAAAAACUUGGACAGCUUCACAUAGCUGUCUGUUUUCU
This is a long non-coding RNA of Lagopus leucura (white-tailed ptarmigan), 2283 nucleotides long. RefSeq lists it as uncharacterized. Lineage: Eukaryota; Metazoa; Chordata; Aves; Galliformes; Phasianidae. The transcript has 5 exons. The record is from RefSeq and is a predicted model, not a curated record.